This 490-nucleotide ribosomal RNA is filed under the name uncultured bacterium. Its description in RNAcentral is "bacterial SSU rRNA". It matches the Rfam family "Bacterial small subunit ribosomal RNA", at positions 28 to 506 of the family's 1533-position model. The record is from RNAcentral.
GAUGAACGCUAGCGGCAGGCUUAACACAUGCAAGUCGUGGGGCAGCGCGAGGUAGCAAUACUUUGGCGGCGACCGGCAAACGGGUGCGGAACACGUACGCAACCUUCCUCAGAGCGGGGAAUAGCCUCUCGAAAGAGAGAUUAAUACCCCAUAGUAUCUCGAAACUGCAUGGUUUUGAGAUUAAAGCUUCGGCACUUUGAGAUGGGCGUGCGGCUGAUUAGGUAGUUGGUAGGGUAACGGCCUACCAAGCCAACGAUCAGUAGCUGAUGUGAGAGCAUGAUCAGCCACACGGGCACUGAGACACGGGCCCGACUCCUACGGGAGGCAGCAGUUGAGGAAUAUUGGUCAAAUGGAGGAAACUCUGAACCAGCCAUGCCGCGUGAAGGAUGAAAGGUCCUCUGGAUUGUAAACUUCUUUUAUAGAAGAAGAAACCCCAUUAUUCUUAAAUGGGUUGACGGUACUCUAUGAAUAAGCACCGGCUAAACUCCGU